UCCUAUUAUCUAAAGUUUGUCAAAAAGUGAUGGGUUUUGGUCCAUCUCAUUCAAGAUCUGCUAUUGGAAUUUUUUUGGGCCCUUUUGGCCCAUUUUCGCCUGAACCUGCUGGAAAAAAAAAUUGGGCUUUGGCCCCUCUUUGCCUUUGAAAACCUGUAUAUGCACCAAGUGUAUAUUUUUGUAUAUGGGUUGUAUUUAAGGUGU
RNAcentral lists this long non-coding RNA (204 nucleotides) under Solanum tuberosum (potato). RNAcentral's name for it is "long non-coding RNA (STUB_LNC004853)". Lineage: Eukaryota; Viridiplantae; Streptophyta; Magnoliopsida; Solanales; Solanaceae. The record is from RNAcentral.